RNAcentral lists this ribosomal RNA (480 nucleotides) under uncultured bacterium. RNAcentral's name for it is "partial 16S ribosomal RNA". It matches the Rfam family "Bacterial small subunit ribosomal RNA", at positions 28 to 523 of the family's 1533-position model. The record is from RNAcentral.
GACGAACGCUGGCGGCGCGCUUAACACAUGCAAGUCGAGCGAGAACCCUGGAGCUUGCUCCGGGGGGACAGCGGCGAACGGGUGAGUAACACGUGAGGAACCUGCCCCGAAGACCGGGAUAACACCGGGAAACCGGUGCUAAUACCGGAUGCACUCACCGGACCGCAUGAUCAGGUGAGGAAAUGGAUUCCGCUUCGGGAUGGGCGCGCGGCCUAGCAGCGUGUUGGUGGGGUAAGGGCCUACCAGGGCUCCGACGGGUAGCGUGUCUGAGUGGGUGUCCAGCAACACUGGGACUGAGACACGGCCCAGACUCCUACGGGAGGGAGCAGUGGGAAAUCUUGCGCAAGGGGCGAAAGCCUGACGCAGCGACGCCGCGUGCGGGAUGACGGCCUUCGGGUUGUAAACCGCUUUCAGCAGGGACGAUUGUGACGGUACCUGCAGAAGAAGCCCCGGCCAACUACGUGCCAGCCGCCGCCGUAA